This 1460-nucleotide long non-coding RNA is filed under the name Gallus gallus (chicken). RNAcentral's name for it is "lncRNA (ENSGALG00010023520.1)". Lineage: Eukaryota; Metazoa; Chordata; Aves; Galliformes; Phasianidae. The record is from RNAcentral.
CUUAUUGAUUUUUGCUAUCAAAUCUCCUCAGGAAAAAGGUAUUUAUAGAAUGUCUAGCUUUGAGCUCUGGUGUCCAGCUGGGCUCUUCCCAUCCUGCUUCUUGUCACAGUGAGUGGAGUCAUGGUCUGUAUCAGGACACUGUAUGACCCAUUUCUAUCUGUGCUCCUGAAAGCCCUCUGCAAAAACUGAAGGUGUUUUAGGAAGAUCAUUGGAGAUCCAAAGUGACCUGAAGAUGAGGUUGUCUGACAAGUGUUCCUGAGAGGCUCUUUCAGUCUUCAGGGAUUCUCUUACCCAUGACCACGGCACAACUGGGGUAUGCCAUAGAUUUACCAAGUGGGACGUGACUCUUAUCCAUUCUCAGUACUGUGGUGAUGAAAUCAUCAAGGUUUGUUUCCUGUGCGAAUCCCUUUCAGCAAAGGGUCAGUGAAACGCGCAACAGCCAUGGUCUAAAACUUAAUGCAGAGUGAAGAUGAAAAAACGUCCUGCAACAUGAGAAUCCCAAUUUGAUUUCUGAAGAACUUCUGAGAAAGUAAGUACAUUCCUAUUGUCCUUACUAGUCUAAUAAUUAAGUUUGGCUAUGGGAUACAAUCUCUUUCUAUUUUAGUUUACAUGUAAUUUAAGAAAUAAAUACGCAAAGUGGUCAAGAAAUAUUCCUGAUGGCUGGUGUCUCACCAGUGUGAGAGCGAUUGAAUACCCUGGGGGUCCUUGCACAGAAAUGUCUGUCUCACACAGAUGUUCAGAAAGAACUGGCUUCUCUGGGCAGCAGAGAGUGAUUUUAGCAGGGGAGUGAAAGGCUGUGGAAGGAGGCCUGAUUUACAUUUUAAUUCUUAGAGCUGGUGGUGCCAGCUCAGGAUUGAUGGAAAUCUUGCCCUCAUGAUGCUAUGCUCUGUGGAAGGACGAUUCAGAGAAGCACUAAGUGUACAAUGCAUUGUUUGUUUGAGAAGUAGCAGGGUAUCUAUUUCCAGUCUUCUAAUACCUUGACCUUGGAGUUUGUUCGAAAUUAAAUAGUCUUGUCUAACCAGCUAGCCAUUGAAGCAAAAGAGCUGUUGUUAUAAAGAGAGUGGGCAAGGGAAGAGCAGACAGACCGGGUAACUUCUAGGCAAUAUUGAGAGAGCACAAUGAUUCCCUGCAGGCACAGCACCUCUUUCUUCUGCACGGUCUGCAAGAUAAAAUGAUUUAAGCUGAGACACGUUUUAGAGCACCUGAGUUAGUUGACUGCAAAGCAGGAGCUGUUCUAUUAAUGUCCAUUCCUGCUGUUCAGCUUUUGAGGUUUUUAUCUGUUGUUAGUACACUCGAAGCCUUCUUUUAAAUAUUGGAAAUGCUCUAGGUUAUCUCUGUCUCACCUAACUGGGAUCGGCUUUCCCUUGUGGAAAGAGCAAGGAGGGGGGUAGAGAAAUAGCAACCUGCACUUUUCCCUCCCACCUUUAGGAGCUCAUUCUCCCCUCAGCAGGCAUGGUACU